CCUACGGGUGGCUGCAGUGAGGAAUAUUGGUCAAUGGGCGCGAACCUGAACCAGCCAAGUCGCGUGAGGGAGGACGGCCCUACGGGUUGUAAACCUCUUUUGCCGGGGAGCAACGGGCGCCACGUGUGGCGUCACUGAGAGUACCCGGAGAAAAAGCAUCGGCUAACUCCGUGCCAGCGGCCGAGGUAAUACGGAGGAUGCGAGCGUUAUCCGGAUUUAUUGGGUUAAAAGGGUGCGUAGGCGGAUCGUUAAGUCAGUGGUCAAAUUGAGGGGCUCAACCCCUUCCCGCCAUUGAAACUGGCGUUCUUGAGUGGAAGAGAAGUAGGCGGAAUGCGUGGUGUAGCGGUGAAAUGCAUAGAUAGCACGCAGAACCCCGAUUGCGAAGGCAGCAUGCCGGCUUCCGACUGACGCUGAAGCACGAAAGCGUGGGGAUUGAACAGGAUUAGAUACCCCUGUAGUC
This 460-nucleotide ribosomal RNA is filed under the name uncultured bacterium. RNAcentral's name for it is "partial 16S ribosomal RNA". It matches the Rfam family "Bacterial small subunit ribosomal RNA", at positions 338 to 795 of the family's 1533-position model. The record is from RNAcentral.